Molecule: ribosomal RNA, 253 nt
Filed under: uncultured bacterium
Lineage: Bacteria
Description: partial 16S ribosomal RNA
Rfam family: Bacterial small subunit ribosomal RNA
Source: RNAcentral
UACGAAGGGUGCUAGCGUUGUUCGGAAUCACUGGGCGUAAAGGGCGCGUAGGCGGCUUGAUAAGGUUGCGGUGAAAGCCCGGGGCUCAACCCCGGGUCGGCCGUGGCAACUGUCGAGCUGGAGCACUGUAGAGGCAGGUGGAAUUCCGGGUGUAGCGGUGGAAUGCGUAGAGAUCCGGAAGAACACCGGUGGCGAAGGCGGCCUGCUGGGCAGUGGCUGACGCUGAGGCGCGACAGCGUGGGGAGCAAACAGG